This 755-nucleotide ribosomal RNA is filed under the name bacterium enrichment culture clone B1-31. RNAcentral describes it as "bacterial SSU rRNA". It matches the Rfam family "Bacterial small subunit ribosomal RNA", at positions 28 to 774 of the family's 1533-position model. The record is from RNAcentral.
AACAAACGCUGGCGGCGUGUCUUAAGCAUGCAAGUUGAGCGGCAAGGGGGAGCGAUCCCCCCUAGAGCGGCGGACUGGUGAGUAACACGUGGAUGAUCUACCCGAGGCAUGGGGAUAGUCACUAGAAAUAGUGGGUAAUACCGAAUACGGUGCGCAUCGUGAGGGUGCGCAAGAAAGGUGCUACGGCACCGGCCUAGGAUGAGUCUGCGUCCCAUUAGCUGGUUGGUGAGGUAAGAGCCCACCAAGGCGAUGAUGGGUAGCCGGCCUGAGAGGGUGUACGGCCACACUGGGACUGAGAUACGGCCCAGACUCCUACGGGAGGCAGCAGCUAAGAAUAUUCCGCAAUGGACGAAAGUCUGACGGAGCGACGCCGCGUGGAUGAAGAAGGCCGAAAGGUUGUAAAGUUCUUUUGUUGGGGAAGAAUAACCAUGGGAGGGAAUGCCCGUGGGAUGACAUGAACCGACGAAUAAGCCCCGGCUAACUACGUGCCAGCAGCCGCGGUAACACGUAGGGGGCGAGCGUUGUUCGGAAUUACUGGGCGUAAAGGGCAUGUAGGCGGUCUUGUAAGCUUGGCGUGAAAGACCACGGCUCAACCGUGGGAUUGCGUUGAGAACUGCGAGGCUUGAGUGACGGAGAGGGAGCUAGAAUUCCUGGUGUAGGGGUGGAAUCUGUAGAGAUCAGGAAGAAUACCAAUGGCGAAGGCAAGCUCCUGGCCGAUGACUGACGCUGAGGUGCGAAAGUGUGGGGAUCAAACA